UUUUUUCUUCCAAAAAAAGUAGCUAGCAAAGUGCUAUGCUACCAGAAAAAUAUAUUAAAAGAUGGAGAAACAGAAAGCGGAGGGGGAUCAAACCAAGACCUCCCUAGUAAUUUACAAACCUAUAAUUAGGUAACCCUAAUUUUUUUUGCCCAAAAGAAGAAUUAAUACAAGAAGGUUUCUCCAACCAAACUAUAGGCACAUCAGAGUUUAACCCUACAUUAGCUAAAAUAUCAGCACACUGAUUUCCUUCCCUAAAAAUGUGAGAUACAAUAAAGUUCAUGGAGAGGACAGUAUGUAGGCAG
RNAcentral lists this long non-coding RNA (302 nucleotides) under Medicago truncatula (barrel medic). RNAcentral's name for it is "long non-coding RNA (MTRU_LNC008891)". Lineage: Eukaryota; Viridiplantae; Streptophyta; Magnoliopsida; Fabales; Fabaceae. The record is from RNAcentral.